Molecule: long non-coding RNA, 4369 nt
Organism: Daucus carota subsp. sativus
Lineage: Eukaryota; Viridiplantae; Streptophyta; Magnoliopsida; Apiales; Apiaceae
Exons: 5
Source: RefSeq, a predicted model, not a curated record
UUCUUCAGAAAAUGUGGAAUAAAAUUUAAUAUUUUAUUCUAGUUUCAUAAUUCUCAAAGUAUAUGUUUAAAUUAUUUUUCCGGUUCAUUAGGGUAUUGGAAUUUUGUUGUCUAUUUGAAUUGAAUACCAUGUCAAAUACGUGAAUUACUUGUUCUAUGGUUAAGUUUAUCAUCUGAAUGUAACUUAUGCUUGUGUGUAUAUUUGUUACUAACUGUUGUAUUGUUUAUAACUGUUUUAUGAUUUUCUUAAAAACGGAUUUUAGGAAAAUGAAUUCCUGGAAAUAUGAAAGUGAUUUCAAAAUUUCUUUUAAUUAUUUAAUGAUGAUAGUAAAUAUUUUUAGGAGUUUUUAAAAUAUUAAAAAUCUUAUUUCUAUAAGGACAUGAUUUUUAAUUAGUUUCUAAACGCAGCUAACUUCUAAAAUUUGUAUAAAUUUUGACAAAGCUCUAUAAAUCCCGAAACUUUUAUUUUAUUAGUUUUAUAAUAUGCGGAGAUUUAUAAAAUUAGUUUGGUAAUUUUUCGAGAAAGUUUUAUGGCGAGUUAUCCUGUAAAUCAACUAAAUAGCGGGUGUGUGGGUGGUUAUUCAGCUUUAAAACCAAACGUGGCAGUCUUUGGCCAAAGCACGUGACAUUGUUUUUCUUCACCGCCAUUCCUUUUCUUCCUUUUAUUUACAUCAGUCUCUCAAUCUCUCUGGCUCACCUCCCUCUCUCACCUUUUCUCUUUUUCUUCCACAAGCCACUAUCCAUUAGUUGUUUUUUUUCUUAAUCUUUCUCCGUCGUUCUCUGAUGACCGCCGUCGCGGGUUCCGACCAGGCGCCGCCGGACCGCCACCGCGUGUUUCUUCCUCUACCAUAGCCCUGCAUCAGUUAUAGAUCAGUAGAAUAGAUCAAGACGUGUAUAUCGAGAAUGUUCAGAAUUAAUCCGAUGGUGUUGCAAGUUGAAGCAAGAAUAAUCUGAGAUGACAGACGUAGAAAGAGUAUUGUCAGAAGCUGCUUAGAAAGAUAUGAUUGUGCGGUAUAGUGCUAUUAGAAUCGUGACUAGACGUCGGAGUUAAGGCAAGUAUUUCUACCCUUAGUUAAGACUAGGGAUAAAGAUGAUUCACUAAAGACUGCGCGUAAAGAGUAAUGAUAGGCAAUGAUUGCAAGUGGUUGAGUUCAGGAAAAUUGUUAGGUAGGGUAUCCGGGACGAUGUGAUUAAGACUAGAUGCAGUUGGAGUUCUGCAAUUCAAUUCAGUUGGAAAUGAGAUUUGUUUAUUUGGUUAUCAGCUACUCUUCUUAUCGAUGUUUAGCUGAUAAUGCAGUUUAAUUUGUAAUGAAAUUUGAUAGUUUUAGUUUCUGAUUUCAAUGCUGUAACCUGUAUGCGAUCCUGUUUUCAGGGGGUGAAUUUGAUUUUAAUUUAAAUCAUUUUUUUAAAAAUAUCCAGGUUUUGAAAUAUUUGUAUUUACUUUCUUUCAAAGAUACAGGUUUUAAAUUGUUUUUCUUUCAGUGACUCAAAAAUACAGGUUUUAAAUUAUUUUUAUUUACACGUGGCACCAGAUCCAGACCCCCGGAUUUGAGGGAUGUCACAGUUGGUAUCAGAGCUACAGGUUAUAAGUUAUUGAAAUCAGAAUGUAGAUUGUAAUAAUAGGUUUGAUAAAAAAAGAUUACAUGGUGAAACCUCACAUAGAGGUAUCGUAAGACUAUUUGGGGAUAGUCUUUCUGAGCAGAAUAAAAUGGGACGAGAUGAUUAAGUGUAAGUGUUAGACAUCACAAUUCCUAACUCUAGUUCUUCCGGUCCCUGAUAUAUUGACCAAUUUAGAGUUAAAUCAUUCUAAGAGGAUCGAAGUUUGACCUAUCAGCAGAACCUUCAAGCUAGAACCAGUUGAGGUCGGGCCGGUAGAGAUUCUCACAUAGUCUAAUAUAUCAUUUAUAGUAUAUGCCAAGUGUUGAGUAUUAUUUGGAGAGUCAUCUUCUGAUAGUUGUCAUAGAUAUCUAGAAUUGGUGAAAGAAUAGAGGUGUUAACAAGUCCGAGUUUAAAGCUUUGUAUAUAGUUAAGUAGUGAGCGUUAGAGCUACGUAGAAUUCGUGUUAGAUUCCUCGAUCUAGUACUCAUAAGCGAGUUAAGACGUCAACGCUCUAUGGUGAUGAUUGUAUAAAGUUGGAUAAGACUUCUGACUGACAACGCUAUCAAUGAUGGGAUCGUUAGAGGCUAUUGCUAGUCUACGAUAAUAUAUGCAAGUGAUCACAAGAACGUCAAGAAGAAUCACUAGAAUGAAAACAAGUUAUCAAAAGAAUCUAUCAAAAAGACAUUUUUGAGAAUCCUGACAAUACCUUCCACAUUGUUGAUUAUAUUGAUUUCUUUCCCCAUCAAUGAUUUGUUCUGACAUCACUUUCAUAUAGAUAUUCUAUAAAGAAUAUAUUUUCACUUUUCAUCAUUUCAAACCCUUUCAUAUUCUCUACUCUAACUGAUGUGAACAACCCUACUUAUAGGGGACACAAGGACUAUCUGUCUGUGUGAUAGAAGUUGGAUGGGACGCCAUCACUUGUGUGUGUUGUAUAUACAAGAAGGUUAACUACCUUUAGUAGUGUCUUAAUCUAGACACGCAACACUGAGUUCUUUAGAUCAUAUUGAUCUCUCAGUUAUCUCUCAUUUCAAAUGAGAUUUAUUUAACACUCUCAUAAUCAUAUGACCACAAUCACGUGACAUUUGCUUCGAAAUCUGUCAUACUUUUAAAUCUUCAAGAUUCUUGUUAUCUCUAAUAGUUUGGAGGUAUGUCAACCAAGUUGCCAACAUGAAUUAAGACUUUGUUGGAGGAAGCACCAGGGAUGAAAACGGAUGACAAUACGGGUCGAUCAACAAAAAUUUUAUAUCAGAAAGAAAAAGUAUUACGGAUUAUAGAGAUGUACGCUCUAGGUUGCUUUUCGGUGAUUCCGAGGACGGAAUCCUUUUAAGGGGGGUAGAUUGUGACGACCCGGAUUUUUCAAAAUUUAUUUUGUUAGUUUAUUUGUGAUUCUUCAGAAAAUGUGGAAUAAAAUUUAAUAUUUUAUUCUAGUUUCAUAAUUCUCAAAGUAUAUGUUUAAAUUAUUUUUCCGGUUCAUUAGGGUAUUGGAAUUUUGUUGUCUAUUUGAAUUGAAUACCAUGUCAAAUACGUGAAUUACUUGUUCUAUGGUUAAGUUUAUCAUCUGAAUGUAACUUAUGCUUGUGUGUAUAUUUGUUACUAACUGUUGUAUUGUUUAUAACUGUUUUAUGAUUUUCUUAAAAACGGAUUUUAGGAAAAUGAAUUCCUGGAAAUAUGAAAGUGAUUUCAAAAUUUCUUUUAAUUAUUUAAUGAUGAUAGUAAAUAUUUUUAGGAGUUUUUAAAAUAUUAAAAAUCUUAUUUCUAUAAGGACAUGAUUUUUAAUUAGUUUCUAAACGCAGCUAACUUCUAAAAUUUGUAUAAAUUUUGACAAAGCUCUAUAAAUCCCGAAACUUUUAUUUUAUUAGUUUUAUAAUAUGCGGAGAUUUAUAAAAUUAGUUUGGUAAUUUUUCGAGAAAGUUUUAUGGCGAGUUAUCCUGUAAAUCAACUAAAUAGCGGGUGUGUGGGUGGUUAUUCAGCUUUAAAACCAAACGUGGCAGUCUUUGGCCAAAGCACGUGACAUUGUUUUUCUUCACCGCCAUUCCUUUUCUUCCUUUUAUUUACAUCAGUCUCUCAAUCUCUCUGGCUCACCUCCCUCUCUCACCUUUUCUCUUUUUCUUCCACAAGCCACUAUCCAUUAGUUGUUUUUUUUCUUAAUCUUUCUCCGUCGUUCUCUGAUGACCGCCGUCGCGGGUUCCGACCAGGCGCCGCCGGACCGCCACCGCGUGUUUCUUCCUCUACCAUAGCCCUGCAUCAGUUAUAGAUCAGUAGAAUAGAUCAAGACGUGUAUAUCGAGAAUGUUCAGAAUUAAUCCGAUGGUGUUGCAAGUUGAAGCAAGAAUAAUCUGAGAUGACAGACGUAGAAAGAGUAUUGUCAGAAGCUGCUUAGAAAGAUAUGAUUGUGCGGUAUAGUGCUAUUAGAAUCGUGACUAGACGUCGGAGUUAAGCUAGGGAUAAAGAUGAUUCACUAAAGACUGCGCGUAAAGAGUAAUGAUAGGCAAUGAUUGCAAGUGGUUGAGUUCAGGAAAAUUGUUAGGUAGGGUAUCCGGGACGAUGUGAUUAAGACUAGAUGCAGUUGGAGUUCUGCAAUUCAAUUCAGUUGGAAAUGAGAUUUGUUUAUUUGGUUAUCAGCUACUCUUCUUAUCGAUGUUUAGCUGAUAAUGCAGUUUAAUUUGUAAUGAAAUUUGAUAGUUUUAGUUUCUGAUUUCAAUGCUGUAACCUGUAUGCGAUCCUGUUUUCAGGGGGUGAAUUUGAUUUUAAUUUAAAUCAUUUUUUUAAAAA